This 72-nucleotide transfer RNA is filed under the name Camelus bactrianus (Bactrian camel). It matches the Rfam family "tRNA". Rfam says of the family: Transfer RNA (tRNA) molecules are approximately 80 nucleotides in length. Their secondary structure includes four short double-helical elements and three loops (D, anti-codon, and T loops). Further hydrogen bonds mediate the characteristic L-shaped molecular structure. tRNAs have two regions of fundamental functional importance: the anti-codon, which is responsible for specific mRNA codon recognition, and the 3' end, to which the tRNAs corresponding amino acid is attached (by aminoacyl-tRNA synthetases). tRNAs cope with the degeneracy of the genetic code in two manners: having more than one tRNA (with a specific anti-codon) for a particular amino acid; and 'wobble' base-pairing, i.e. permitting non-standard base-pairing at the 3rd anti-codon position. The record is from Rfam by way of RNAcentral. RNAcentral also lists the same sequence under 2 other names. Lineage: Eukaryota; Metazoa; Chordata; Mammalia; Artiodactyla; Camelidae.
GUAGGUGUAGCUCAGUGGUAGAACAUGUGCUUAGCAUGCACGAGGUCCUGGGUUCAAUCCCCAGGAUCUCCG